This 346-nucleotide long non-coding RNA is filed under the name Capsicum annuum. Its description in RNAcentral is "long non-coding RNA (CANN_LNC017046)". The record is from RNAcentral. Lineage: Eukaryota; Viridiplantae; Streptophyta; Magnoliopsida; Solanales; Solanaceae.
AUCACUUGAAUCAUCUUCUCUAUCAGUCCAUUAAUUUGAGGAUAAAUACUUAUGCUAAAGUCAAGCAUGGUUCCCAACUCCUCGUGCAACCUAUCCUAAAAUCAAUAAAUAUACUUUGCAUCUCAAUGAGUAAUAAAGGUAAGGGGUACCCCAUAAAUCCUCACUAUCUCCUUGACAAAGAUUUUAGCUCCAACCUGAAUUAGAAAAAAGUGCGCUGAUUUCGUCAGCCAAUCUACUAUCACAUCAAUGGAGUCCUAUUUCCCAAAAGUCUUAGGAAUACCCACAAUAAAAUCUAUAGAAAUGUUCUCUCAUUUUCACAUAGGUAUAAGCAUCCUCUGAAGAAACC